GUGGGGAAUAUUGGACAAUGGGCGAAAGCCUGAUCCAGCCAUGCCGCGUGUGUGAAGAAGGUCUUCGGAUUGUAAAGCACUUUAAGUUGGGAGGAAGGGCAGUAAGUUAAUACCUUGCUGUUUUGACGUUACCAACAGAAUAAGCACCGGCUAACUUCGUGCCAGCAGCCGCGGUAAUACGAAGGGUGCAAGCGUUAAUCGGAAUUACUGGGCGUAAAGCGCGCGUAGGUGGUUCAGCAAGUUGAAGGUGAAAUCCCCGGGCUCAACCUGGGAACUGCCUCCAAAACUACUGAGCUAGAGUACGGUAGAGGGUAGUGGAAGUUCCUGUGUAGCGGUGAAAUGCGUAGAUAUAGGAAGGAACACCAGUGGCGAAGGCGACUACCUGGACUGAUACUGACACUGAGGUGCGAAAGCGUGGGGAGCAAACAGGAUUAGAUACCCGGGUAGUCC
Molecule: ribosomal RNA, 450 nt
Filed under: uncultured bacterium
Lineage: Bacteria
Description: partial 16S ribosomal RNA
Rfam family: Bacterial small subunit ribosomal RNA
Source: RNAcentral